UAAUUUAAAGACCAUAAAUAAUUAAAAAUUAAGAAACAACACAAAAGAAGGAAAGCAGUUCAGUGGUAUUUCCAUCUUCUUCAUCACCUCUGCCAACCUCCUCCNCACUUGCCGGCCAUCACAGGGCGGCAAUUUUCCUCCCGUUUUCUCAAUAGACGACAAUAGACUACCACACACACCAGGAACUCAAAACCGCAAAACCACCUCAACAUCUUGUCUUCUGGCAAUCGUCGUUUCGCAGUAAUAACACAAUUCUUGUUGAAUUUUUACACUGCAGAGUGACAAUCUGAUACUAAUAAUAGUCGUGCAAUUUAGGAGAAUGAAAUUAUGACAGUG
This 336-nucleotide long non-coding RNA is filed under the name Trifolium pratense (red clover). RNAcentral's name for it is "long non-coding RNA (TPRA_LNC012867)". The record is from RNAcentral. Lineage: Eukaryota; Viridiplantae; Streptophyta; Magnoliopsida; Fabales; Fabaceae.